GAUGAACGCUGGCGGCGUGCCUAAUACAUGCAAGUCGAGCGAACGGACGAGAAGCUUGCUUCUCUGAUGUUAGCGGCGGACGGGUGAGUAACACGUGGAUAACCUACCUAUAAGACUGGGAUAACUUCGGGAAACCGGAGCUAAUGCCGGAUAAUAUUUUGAACCGCAUGGUUCAAUAGUGAAAGACGGUCUUGCUGUCACUUAUAGAUGGAUCCGCGCUGCAUUAGCUAGUUGGUAAGGUAACGGCUUACCAAGGCAACGAUGCAUAGCCGACCUGAGAGGGUGAUCGGCCACACUGGAACUGAGACACGGUCCAGACUCCUACGGGAGGCAGCAGUAGGGAAUCUUCCGCAAUGGGCGAAAGCCUGACGGAGCAACGCCGCGUGAGUGAUGAAGGUCUUCGGAUCGUAAAACUCUGUUAUUAGGGAAGAACAUAUGUGUAAGUAACUGUGCACGUCUUGACGGUACCUAAUCAGAAAGCCACGGCUAACUACGUG
This 497-nucleotide ribosomal RNA is filed under the name uncultured bacterium. RNAcentral describes it as "partial 16S ribosomal RNA". It matches the Rfam family "Bacterial small subunit ribosomal RNA", at positions 28 to 507 of the family's 1533-position model. The record is from RNAcentral.